This is a long non-coding RNA of Bubalus bubalis (water buffalo), 253 nucleotides long. RefSeq lists it as uncharacterized. The transcript is spliced from 2 exons. NCBI's taxonomy places the organism in Eukaryota, Metazoa, Chordata, Mammalia, Artiodactyla, Bovidae. The record is from RefSeq and is a predicted model, not a curated record.
CCGGGGAGGCCUCAGUGUCUCCUCUCCUUCGGGAGAACAGAAGGACGCCUGCGGCCUACGGGGUGGAUCUAUCUCCUCAGCAAGGGAAACAAAAGCAAAAAUAAACAAAUGGGACCUAACCAAACUUAAAAGCUUUUAUACAUCAAAGGAAACCAUCAACAAAAUGAAAAGACACCCUACUGAAUAAGAGAAGACAUUUGCAAAUGAUAUGUUUAAUAAAGGGAUUAAUAGCCAAGGUAUGCAAAUAACUCAU